RNAcentral lists this ribosomal RNA (222 nucleotides) under uncultured bacterium. RNAcentral's name for it is "partial 16S ribosomal RNA". It matches the Rfam family "Bacterial small subunit ribosomal RNA", at positions 57 to 305 of the family's 1533-position model. The record is from RNAcentral.
GCAAGUCGAGCGCUCACCUUCGGGUGGGAGCGGCGGACGGGUUAGUAACGCGUGGGAACACACCCUUUUCUAUGGAAUAGCCUCGGGAAACUGAGAGUAAUACCAUAUACGCCCUUCGGGGGAAAGAUUUAUCGCCAAAGGAUUAGCCCGCGUUGGAUUAGGUAGUUGGUGGGGUAAUGGCCUACCAAGCCGACGAUCCAUAGCUGGUUUGAGAGGAUGAUC